CGACAAAGGUGUUGAACGACGUACAACACACACUCACACACGAACCUGCACAGGCAGACGUGGCCGGACCGUUUCGACGCGCUCAUGUCUUCUUGGAUAAUUUGUCGAUAUCUCGUUAAGUAAUUGAAAUUUAGAUCAAAUGCAGGAUUUGAGAAAAGAUCCCAGUAUCAGUAUCAAAGAAUUGCAGCAGGCUGCUGCUUGUUCAUUGAAUGGCAUGUGAAGUCCAACAUGGAAACCAUUGGUGGAGCUUAGCCGAAAAUAAUACUGCAGUCUUUUGAAGUAAUUGACUGUUGCCGGCUAUGUUCACUCACCAUGAAAGGAAGCAGCUUAAGAGUAUAUGUCAAGCUUGUCUAACCAUCUGCUUGUUUGGAGAAGAUAUUCAGUCCUGGUCUGGACGAGAUAUUAUGGUACCCUGAUCAUAGUAGUCUUCUUAAAGCAGGUGGAAAACUCCGGUUGAAGCAGGAGGUUGAACAUGUCUGCGAACACCCUCACCAUCUGCUUCCGCACGGAAUAUGAUGUGACAAAUAACGAACCUAAAGGCUGCUGACCCUGAAGAACAAUAAGAUAAUAUGGUUGUAAAGUGGACAAUUUCUGAUUUCAUGGUGACCAGAAAUAAUUACCUUCAUAACAGACACUUGGAUUCACACAUUCCGUUCUACUGUUUGAAAAGCCCCAGGAAGUGCAAUCAAUCAAUCAAACUAUUUACAUGUCUGGAUGAACAUGUAGUGGAUGAGCAGAAGCGUUCAACAGUCUGCUCUGAAAUGAAGAUCUGAGUAUUUUAAAAUCCUGAUCUCUUUGAAUCCACCUGAAUAUUUCCCAGGUAUUGCGGACUCAAAGGGAAUGGGAAAUGUCUGAAUAAAUGCUCUCACAUCCCAAGUGUUACCUGCCAAUAUUAGUUCAGGGAUGAAAACAGCUCCAACUUCCUCUCUAAGUCACAUAAUCUGAUUCGAAAACAUAUCACAUAUUCUUCAUUCUUAUUUCAAGGUUCUUCAUCAUCAUCAUUCAGGUGCCUUGCUGUUUGGCGUGGGCGAUCAUGUCUCUCCAUCCAUCACGGUCCCUGACCCUCCGAAUUGUAGUUGUUGCCUCCCCUGUUUCUAACCAUGAUGUUAUUUCAUCUAUCAUUUUCAUUCUCUGUCUGCCUCUGCUUCUUUUACCUUCCAGCUUUCCAGUUGUAACUAAAUGUUCUAAUGUCUCUGUUUGAAUUUUUACUUUUUUAAGUAAAGUACGCUUUAUUUUCAUUUUCUGUAGAACUUCUUCAUUGGUUAUCCUGUCCGUAUUUGAUAUGCAUAGCAACCUUCUGAGGAACCACAUCUCUGCUGCAUUGAUUCUUUUUUUUCAAGGUUCUUAACUUCAUUAUUAAGGAGUGCAGCUUUUUGGUAUGAUAUCUACCACCUUUUCAAAGGAAACUGGGAUAGCUGCUGAAUGCUGGCCAGUCUGAGUGUAGUUUCUGGUGUAUAAAUGAUCAAGAUCAGGUUUAAUAUCACCAGCAUAUGUUGUGAAAUUUUUUGUCUUUGUGACAGCAGUACAGUGCAAUACAUAAUAAUGGGAAAAAUGUGAAUUACAGUAAAUGUAUACAGUAUAUUAUAGAUAAAUUAAAAAUGUGCAAAAACAGAAUAAAACUGAGGUAGUGUUCAGGGGUUCCAUGUCCAUUCAGAAACGGGAUGGCAGAGGGUAAGAAGCUGUUCCUGAAUCAUUCAGUGUGUGCCUUCAGACUCCUGUACCUCCUUCCCGAUGGUGGCAAUAAGAACAGGCCACGUCUUGGGUGAUGGGGGUAUUUAAUGAUGGAUGCCACCUUUUUGAGGCAUCACUCCUUGAAGAUGUCCUGGAUACUAUGGAGGCUAGUUUCCAUCAUGGAGAUGAAUGUCCACAACUCUCUGCAGCUUAUUUUGAUACUAUUAAUUUCAGAUACUGAGAUAGCGCUUCCAGACCUGUGUCCAAAUUGCUGCUGUACAGCCUCAAAGAAAUAAUGUUGUUUUGAUUUCAAUGAAAGUCUUCUAUUCAUGUUCGCAAAUGCUGAAAUAUCACAGAAUUAAUGUGCUUAAUAUAUAUGUUAAAAUUAUGAAGUCUAAUUAUGAAUAAAUCAUUUUGUGAAUACUGUUAAAAAUUGAUGUUAAUAUUGCGACCUAUGACCGUGAAUUUAAAUCUAGAGCAGUGAUUGGUUUUAUCAACAUUAAACAAUUUUGCUCUCCAUAGAAACAAAUUUCUUUUUUAAUGUGUCAACAUAAAAUGACAGUGGUGCUAACCUUAUAAAGUGAUUAAACAUACUGAUGUAUUAUGAAAUUAUCUAUUGAUACAGCUUUGCUAAAUGUAUCCUUUUUACUUUUCCACAUAAGUGUGACCUAUAUUGUACAGUGUUGAGAAUUUUAUUUUGAAGUAGACCUCCCUUUCUGUAAUAAAUCACACUGAAAUGAUGCCGCUUUCCUCUUGCUGCUCAAUUCUCCAGCUGAAGACAGAAAGGAGAUCCUGCACAGUAACCUAAUUUCACUACCCAUGGUUUAUACUGCUAAUAAUAAACUGAACA
Molecule: long non-coding RNA, 2521 nt
Organism: Mobula hypostoma (lesser devil ray)
Lineage: Eukaryota; Metazoa; Chordata; Chondrichthyes; Myliobatiformes; Myliobatidae
Exons: 4
Source: RefSeq, a predicted model, not a curated record